GAUGAACGCUGGCGGCGUGCCUAAUACAUGCAAGUCGAGCGAACAGACGAGGAGCUUGCUCCUCUGACGUUAGCGGCGGACGGGUGAGUAACACGUGGAUAACCUACCUAUAAGACUGGGAUAACUUCGGGAAACCGGAGCUAAUACCGGAUAAUAUAUUUAACCGCAUGGUUCAAUAGUGAAAGACGGUUUUGCUGUCACUUAUAGAUGGAUCCGCGCCGCAUUAGCUAGUUGGUAAGGUAACGGCUUACCAAGGCAACGAUGCGUAGCCGACCUGAGAGGGUGAUCGGCCACACGGGAACUGAGACACGGUACAGACACCUACGGGAGGCAGCAGUAGGGAAUAUUCCGCAAUGGGCGAAAGCCUGACGGAGCAACGCCGCGUGAGUGAUGAAGGUCUACGGAUCGUAAAACUCUGUUAUUAGGGAAGAAAAAAUGUGUAAGUAACUAUGCACGUCUUGACGGUAACUAAUCAGAAAGCCACGGCUAACUACGUG
Molecule: ribosomal RNA, 497 nt
Filed under: uncultured bacterium
Lineage: Bacteria
Description: partial 16S ribosomal RNA
Rfam family: Bacterial small subunit ribosomal RNA
Source: RNAcentral